UAUAUUCUUCUCUUUUUCUUUCUUUUUUCUUUUUGCUUUUUUUAAAAUGUCGACCCGAGGCGCCAGCAACGACACCGGAAACGUAUUGCCAAAGGAUAACUUGGCCUAAUUCUAUAACACACAUUGCAUAGAAACACGAUGAAUAAUUAAUUUUUUUAUUAUUAUUUCAUAAAUAUUUUCUAAUGAAUAACAAUUGAAAAUGAACGAUGUGGAGUUAUAAAUUAAAAGUAAAAUUAUUUAUUUCUCUUCGUUUUUCUUUCUCUCUUUUUUUUUUUCUUUUUUUAACUAUCAAAGCGCAGAAACACGCGUGCGAAAAAAAAAACAAAUAAUAAUAAUAAUAAUAAUAAUAAUAAUAAAAUUAAUGAAGAUAAUAAUAAAAUUGUAAAAAUAAAUCUUUCGAAUAAUAAUUUAGGAUCAUAAUUGCGUCGUGAAAUAUAUUUUCGUUUUAAUUCGAAAUUGUGAUUUUUCGUUGAAUCGAAAGGGAAAUUAUAUUUCCUUUCGAGAAGAAAGGAUAAGGGAAAAGAAAAAAAGAAAAGAAAAGAAUAGUUCAUAGAAGUCUGUCAUAGAAAAAAGUUUUUAUAUCGUUAGAAAAAUAUAUCUCGUGGUAACAAUUAACAAGGGAAGAGAAUUCUCUCGAACGGUAACAUAAAAUUGCAACGUUUACCAUUUAGGUAAAGAACUCGUGAAGUUUCUUCUACCGUCGUUGUUCUUCAGAAUUCUCCUCGAGGCUCAUUCGAAAAAGAUAGAAGAGGACGAAGCAGUUCGAGGGACGGCCAAGGCCAAGGCCAGUUAAAGGAAAAUCUACUUUUUCUUUAUCUUUUCAUGGAAAAGAGAAGAAAGUGGGAGGAGCAAAGGAGAAGCGAAAGUAUCGAGUUUGAAACGAUAUUCGAAAAGGCCGGAGGACUAUUAGUCAUAAGGACCACCGUGUGUGUGAGUGGAUUUCUCGUAUAUCGAUAUGCCAGUCCUAACUGGACUUUGGAAACACCUUAUCGUUAACGUGCCAGAAAGCUUUGGACCCUUAAAAUAAUAAUCCCUCGAGUUACUCAUUCAUGAUACGUGAUUGAACAUGAAAAUUCUUAUGAAAUCUGCACGAGAAAAGAAAAGAGAACGAUCUAAAAAAAUUCCAAGACGUUAUCGAAAACUACAACAACAAUUGAAAUAUCAUUGAUAUGAUUAUUUUUCGUAUGUGAAAGCAGUCUUGAAGAGAAUUCUUUGUUACAAGGACGGACAAAAUUGGAAAUCAGAGAAAUAUUUGAAGAUAUGGAAAGAAUUGGAAAUUAAAAAGAUUGCUGUUCAAGGGAUAUAAACUAUUAUUGGAUAUCAUAGGACUUCAUCAAACAAACUGGAACAAAAGGAUUCCAAUGAAUUUCGACCUGAUGUAUAUAAUUAUAAAGCAAUUAUUUUUAAAUGCAAUGUAACAAAGUAGAAUAAUCGAAUUGUGAACAAUAACGUAAUGUACAAACUAUAGGUUACAGAUUAUAUUACAUCACAUUACAUUACAUUAUAAUACAUUAAGUUAAAUUACACUAAAUUACAUUACAUACAUAUAUAUUUUAUUGUGAACAACAUAUUUUCUGUAUAUUAUAU
Vespa velutina is the source of this 1587-nucleotide long non-coding RNA. RefSeq lists it as uncharacterized. The transcript is spliced from 4 exons. NCBI's taxonomy places the organism in Eukaryota, Metazoa, Arthropoda, Insecta, Hymenoptera, Vespidae. The record is from RefSeq and is a predicted model, not a curated record.